This 87-nucleotide transfer RNA is filed under the name Caldinitratiruptor microaerophilus. Its description in RNAcentral is "tRNA-Leu". It matches the Rfam family "tRNA". From Rfam's summary of the family: Transfer RNA (tRNA) molecules are approximately 80 nucleotides in length. The record is from RNAcentral. Lineage: Bacteria; Bacillati; Bacillota; Clostridia; Eubacteriales; Symbiobacteriaceae.
GCGGAUGUGGCGGAACUGGCAGACGCGCUAGAUUCAGGGUCUAGUGGCCGCAAGGCCGUGGGGGUUCAAAUCCCUCCAUCCGCACCA